This 2024-nucleotide long non-coding RNA is filed under the name Homo sapiens (human). Its description in RNAcentral is "HSALNT0402516". Lineage: Eukaryota; Metazoa; Chordata; Mammalia; Primates; Hominidae. The record is from RNAcentral.
CUGGCCUUAAGUGAGCCUCCUGCCUCGUUCUCCCAAAGUGCUGGGAUUACAGGCGUGAGCCACCAUGCCCAGCCGGCAUUUUCAUCUGGACUCUGCCAUGGGGCUCAGCAAAUCAGAUGUGACCUGGUGACAGGUGCCAAGAAGGUCUGGCGACCACAGGUUUCUUGUCGGUUUCUGCCUGGGACCCCUGCACCUCCCUACCAGUAUUCCCAACCCAACGAAAGACCGGCCAAGUACAAACCAAGGGCAGCCCUGAAGCCCAGGACCAUGAGGCCUGGAAGGCCCCAGGACAGGUGAUUUGUGGCCCUGGUGUCUCAGGUCAGGAGCAGGGCAGAGCCACCUUCCUCCCUCCCUGUGCGGGGCUGCAUGAGCUCAGGGACCUUUGGACCUGAGAAAGGUCAGGCUCACUUCCUCCCCGUGCCUGCGGUUGGCCGCAGGGGGAAUAUUCUCCUGACCCGAGUCCUGAAGCCCUGGGCGUGGAGUUUCCCUGGACUGGGAGAAAGUAAACACCGAGGGACUUGCCAAGAGGAAAUGGAGAAGCCCAGGUGUUCUGGGCGGAGCUGAGUGUCCCGCAGGGGGUUCCGCAGCUCCUCGCCUCUGGAAGACCAAGGACAGCUUUCCCCAGGGCUACAGCCUCACGCUCCCCUCCCAUCGUGGCUGGGCCUUUACUUGGGGGUGAGUGUCCUACAGACGAGGGGCUUAAAGCUACAGGAAUGCCUCGUCUCGCAGAGCUGGAGGCUGGAAGGCAGAUCGGCCUGUGAGGGCCGCGGUCACUCUUGGUCCUGAGCCCUCCUUGUCCGGCUGCUGGUGUCACGGGCACUCCUUGGGGUUCCUUGGCUUGUGGGAGCAUCGCGCCGGCCCCGCCUCUGUCAUCAGGCCGCCUCCCCUUCUCUUCUCGAAGGACACCUGCUACGGCGAGGGCCUCUCCAGGAUGACCUCAUCUCGUUCUCCACUAAUCACAGCUGCAAAGAUUUAUUUCCAAAUAAAGUCGCCUUCUUGGGUUCCAGGGGACCUGAUUUUGGGAGGCGCUGUUCCCCCAGCACAGGGAUACAGCAGGCCCUUGGCCUCAUCGGACAUCUGGUGCCCGCGCGCCCUCUCACUCACGUUGUCCAGGCCUCUGCCCUUCUCAACACCCGGACGUGGGCGUUCAGGUGUCCUUCCUGCCCUGGCGUAUGCCCCACUUAGCUGAGUGGGGGGCUUAGACCUCCGCCCCAUCUGCAGUCCUCCUGGGGCCUGCCAAUCAGACCCCCUGCAGCUGCAUGGUCUUGGGGCAUUGCUGUAAGGCCCUGGGGCCUUUCUGAAUCCAUCUGCAAGCUGGAGCUGAGUCCAGGAGCUGAGGCCGGGAGCAGGAGAAACUUAGCAGCUUGAAACAGCACCCGCUCGGCACACAUUCCUGUUGGGAGUGUGAAAUGGUGCAGCUGCUGUGGGAAAUGGUCUGGUGAUUCCUCGCAAAGCUAAACAAUUGCCAUAGCACCCUGCAGUUCCACACCUGGGGAUGCACAGCCAGAAAUGAAGACGGGUGUCUGAGCAAAAACUCGGACAUGAGUGUUCACAGCAGCGUUAUUCACAGUAGCUAGAAGGUGGAAACAACCCAAGUGUCCGUGGACCGAGGAACAGAUCAACAGGCCACGGCGCACGCACGACGGAGUAUUGUGCAGCCAGAAAAAGGGUGAAGCUCCCUUACACAUUAUGGCGUGGGUGAGCCUCAGAAACAUGGUGCUAAGUGACUGCGUUUAUAUAAAAAGCUUGCACUGAUGUAAAGUGUCUAGAGUAGAGAAACCCAGGAGAUGAAGUGGAUUCGUGGCUUCCAGGGCCUGAGGGCAGAGGGAAGGGACCGGCUGCUGAUGGGUCUCCGUUUGGGAAGAUGAACGAGUUCUGGAGCUUGCUUGAGGCAGUGUCUGCACAACAGUGUGAGUGCACGGAAUGUGGCUGAAUUGGACUCUUUAAAAUAGUUCAGGUGGGCAAUGUUAUGUUAUGUGUGUUUUACUACCAUACAAAUAAGUAAAUAAAUGGACAAGCCUGCA